RNAcentral lists this long non-coding RNA (1071 nucleotides) under Equus caballus (horse). RNAcentral describes it as "lncRNA (ENSECAG00000054999.1)". The record is from RNAcentral. Lineage: Eukaryota; Metazoa; Chordata; Mammalia; Perissodactyla; Equidae.
CUGCCACAAGUGUCACUCAAAGCAGAGAGAGAGAGAGACAAAUGGAAAUAGUCUGGCUUGUUUUCACCCCUCGCCUGCCCCUUGAUCCCAGAACCUCAUGGAGGCCGCAGGCAAGGGAGUCUGGGAUGCGUGUCUGCAGUGAGCCUCCCUUAUAGUACAGAGCAGGUCAUCACUGUGGGCUCACAGGAAAGAUCUUACAAGGCUCUCACUGAGGCAGUCUCAUCAAAGAAAGACCAUGGACCCUCGUUCCUGGCCUGACGUCCCAUCGGAGCCAUUGCGGAAAACGUUCCAGGUAAGUGGAGGAUUUCUGGAGCCCAGCAGAAUUUGAAGCAGCCACAGAUGACCGGUUGACCACUGGCCCAGUCUAUGAUGCUUUCCUGUGCUCCAUGAGGGGGUAGAAAGCCACGCAUUGUGCCCUCUGGCCUUUGAUGCUGGAGUGGCAGAGGGGGUGGUGGACACGGCAGCAACAGCAGCAGGCUGGGGACAGUCCACCGUACUGCACAGUGCUGUUGCUGUAAUCACUUCAAGAACAGGUUUUCUAUUUGCAAAAGGAAUAGAGUACAAGAGUCACCUCCUGCCAGAAUAAUGGCCGCGUUGGCCGCACCUGCCACUCCUGCUGCUGAUGCUAUGGACGCCUUGGUAGCCUGGCGCCAGCCAGCUUUGUGGACCCCUGCUGGGCAGGAUGGGCAAGGAGGCCCCCCUCUAUUGCCCCCAGGCCUGUACACAAGGGCUCCGAGGAAGGAAAUUCCUGACUAUAGAAUUACAUUCUGACCUCCUGAAACUCACCCUGCUCCUGCUCGUGGCAUGAGUAGUACUAUUCUUUCUCUCCUGACCUGCAGCCUUGUGCUGGAUGGAAGGAAAAGGGAGCUUUUUCAUUUUAUACACCAAACCCUGACCAAGAUGGCAGGUUGCUACACUAACAAUGGCGGUCCUUUCUAUCGUGCAAGUAGUUAGGGCAUCUUCUGUGUCUGAUGCUACGUGUGCUCUGAACUUCAGGAAUUGUAAUGCAGCAGAGCAGCAACCCCCUGCUGAUGUAAGAGCAGCCUUGCAUGCAGGAACCCAGGCUGUGAA